UACGUAGGGGGCAAGCGUUGUCCGGAUUUAUUGGGCGUAAAGAGCGUGUAGGCGGCCAGGCAGGUCCGCUGUGAAAACUCGAGGCUUAACCUCGAGACGUCGGUGGAAACCGUUUGGCUAGAGUCCGGAAGAGGAGAGUGGAAUUCCCGGUGCAGCGGUGAAAUGCGCAGAUAUCGGGAAGAACACCCGUGGCGAAGGCGGCUCUCUGGGACGGUACUGACGCUGAGACGCGAAAGCGUGGGGAGCGAACAGG
This 253-nucleotide ribosomal RNA is filed under the name uncultured bacterium. RNAcentral describes it as "partial 16S ribosomal RNA". It matches the Rfam family "Bacterial small subunit ribosomal RNA", at positions 524 to 776 of the family's 1533-position model. The record is from RNAcentral.